Molecule: small RNA, 67 nt
Filed under: Schinkia azotoformans LMG 9581
Lineage: Bacteria; Bacillati; Bacillota; Bacilli; Caryophanales; Bacillaceae
Description: Bacillus azotoformans LMG 9581 Bacillaceae-1 RNA
Rfam family: Bacillaceae-1 RNA
Source: Rfam by way of RNAcentral
UUUAAACGAUCUUCCAUUAAGAACCGUCACGUCCUGUGACGAACAUGGAAGUCAGAAUAUCUGUUCA